GAUUUCUGGUUGGAUGCGCCUGGCCCGCCACGGUUUCGUGUGUGAGUGCCGGUUGUGCGUCUGCCAUCCUUCUAGUCCUCAUUCAAUUCAGCAAUGAAUGAAUGGAGAGCUAGAUCUUUUACUUUGAAAAAAUUAGAGUGUUUCAAGCAGGCAUGUUGCUAUGAAUACAUUAGCAUGGAAUAAUAAGUUAGGACUUCGGUUCUAUUUUGUUGGUUUCUAGAACUGCAGUAAUGAUUGAUAGGGAUAGUUGGGGGUGCUAGUAUUCAGUGGCCAGAGGUGAAAUUCUCGGAUUCACUGAAGACUAACUUAUGCGAAAGCAUU
This 321-nucleotide ribosomal RNA is filed under the name Cercozoa sp. Its description in RNAcentral is "SSU rRNA". The stretch from base 110 to 321 matches the Rfam family "Eukaryotic small subunit ribosomal RNA", at positions 743 to 955 of the family's 1831-position model. Lineage: Eukaryota; Cercozoa. The record is from RNAcentral.